UGCCAGCAGCCGCGGUAAUACGGAGGGUGCAAGCGUUGUUCGGAAUUACUGGGCGUAAAGCGCGCGUAGGCGGCUUUUUAAGUCAGAUGUGAAAGUCCACGGCUCAACCGUGGAAGUGCAUUUGAAACUGCAGAGCUAGAGUAUGGUAGAGGGAAGUGGAAUUUCCGGUGUAGCGGUGAAAUGCGUAGAUAUCGGAAGGAACACCGGUGGCGAAGGCGACUUCCUGGGCCAAUACUGACGCUGAGGUGCGAAAGCGUGGGGAGCAAACAGGAUUAGAUA
RNAcentral lists this ribosomal RNA (279 nucleotides) under uncultured bacterium. RNAcentral describes it as "partial 16S ribosomal RNA". It matches the Rfam family "Bacterial small subunit ribosomal RNA", at positions 506 to 784 of the family's 1533-position model. The record is from RNAcentral.